Long non-coding RNA from Anoplopoma fimbria (sablefish), 499 nucleotides. RefSeq lists it as uncharacterized. The record is from RefSeq and is a predicted model, not a curated record. The transcript is spliced from 3 exons. Lineage: Eukaryota; Metazoa; Chordata; Actinopteri; Perciformes; Anoplopomatidae.
GAAAAAGAAGUCUGUUGAAACUCUGGAUCAUAUAAAACUCAACCCUUCCUCAGAUGGCAACCUGCAAGCCAGCACCUUAGAAGUGGUGUUGGCCCCUGCGAUGGAUCGGCAGCUGAUCUUAGGUGUUUUCCUGUCUACUGGCUCAGCAUUGAUUGAGAUCGACGCACAAUGGAUAAACCCUGAACAUGCAUAAGCAGUCUGCAGGCGGAAUCCCACAUGACAGCCAGCAGAAGGCCGUGACAAAAUCGUUUAUGAGGAAAUAGUUUAUCAUGGCCAUGGUAAACAGUGUCCAUCACACAUGAGAAGAGCAAUGGAUGUAUGACUUUGACGGGGAGAAACUUGGAGUGGAGACAUUUGAGAGCUGAAAUGGAGGCAUGAAGGAUGUUAUUCAAUGUGAUGGGGGGGAAAACAACAUAAUCAUCAUGGUUUCUGUUGUGUCUCAUUUUGUUCAAUGUUGGAUCCAUCCAUGUGUGUGAAUAUUGGUGGAUCUGUCUUGAAA